This 511-nucleotide ribosomal RNA is filed under the name uncultured bacterium. RNAcentral's name for it is "bacterial LSU rRNA". It matches the Rfam family "Bacterial large subunit ribosomal RNA", at positions 935 to 1424 of the family's 2925-position model. The record is from RNAcentral.
UUUAGUAAGGUUAAGUAAAACUAAAAUGAUUUAUAUUAAAUUGGUAGCAGACAGACAUAUGACGCGAGGCCAUAUGUCAAAAGGGAAACAGCCCAGACCAUAAGCUAAAGUCCCUAAUUCAAUAUUAAGUGAAAAGGUUUUUUUAAAUAAUAUUCAUUAGUAAGUUUGCUUAGAGGCAGCAAUCUUUUAAAGAAAGCGUAACAGCUCGCUAAUGUUAGUUUAAAAUACUGAAAAUUUAUAGGGGGCUAAAAUAUUGAACUGAAGCUAUGGAAUACUUUUUAGGUAAUUGGUAGCAGAAUGUUUUGUAAAUUGGAAGAUAAGUUGAUAAAAUUUAUUGGAAAUAUCAAAAGUAUGAAUGUUGGAGUUAGUAACUUAUAUCAAUGUAUAUAUUGAUAAUGAAAAUUAUCAAUAUAAAUCAUUGACGCCGAAAAACUAAGGGUUUCAUUAUAGAGUUAAUAAUAAUGAGUUAAUCGGACUCUAAGAUAAAGGUAAAUACCGUAAUUGAUGAGCC